Molecule: long non-coding RNA, 354 nt
Filed under: Monodelphis domestica (gray short-tailed opossum)
Lineage: Eukaryota; Metazoa; Chordata; Mammalia; Didelphimorphia; Didelphidae
Description: lncRNA (ENSMODG00000034313.2)
Source: RNAcentral
UCCUGGUAGUCUGUCAGCCUGGGGAAGGGAAUCUGUGAGUUGGCUCUCUAGGAAAACCUGGAAAACUGAUUAGCAAUGGGAGAGGAGAAAAAGUUGGAGCUUUGGGAAUAGCUGGAGAAAGAAGACCAAGAGGCAAAAAUAAUAAAUCCCAGAAGACUCAUAGAUGGAACAUUCUUUCUAUAAAGAAUUACUAAUUAGAAGAACUCUUGUGUGGCACUCUGAAUGACCAUGGGAAUUUAUAUGUUUGAGAGAUCACUACCUUCCAAUCCCUCCAAGUCAGAGGACCGGACAACCAAUAAUGCCCAAAAAACUCAGCCAAAGUUGAAAGGUGAUGGAAAUCAGAGAUGGCUGUGA